Molecule: transfer RNA, 72 nt
Filed under: Heterocephalus glaber (naked mole-rat)
Lineage: Eukaryota; Metazoa; Chordata; Mammalia; Rodentia; Bathyergidae
Rfam family: tRNA
About the family: Transfer RNA (tRNA) molecules are approximately 80 nucleotides in length. Their secondary structure includes four short double-helical elements and three loops (D, anti-codon, and T loops).
Source: Rfam by way of RNAcentral
UAGGGUGUAGCUCAGUGGCAGAGCCCUUGCCUAGCAUGCAAGAUGUCCCGGGUUUGAUCUCCAGCAACACAA